This 526-nucleotide ribosomal RNA is filed under the name uncultured Lactobacillales bacterium. RNAcentral's name for it is "bacterial SSU rRNA". It matches the Rfam family "Bacterial small subunit ribosomal RNA", at positions 30 to 507 of the family's 1533-position model. Lineage: Bacteria; Bacillati; Bacillota; Bacilli; Lactobacillales. The record is from RNAcentral.
CGAACGCUGCGGCGUGCCAAUACAUAGCAAGUGAAACGACUGAAGGAGGAGGCUUGCUUCUACUGGAUUGAAGGUUAGGUCGAAACCGGGUUACGGAGGUUAAACGCCGUUAGGGUAAACCCUUAGCCCUCGGUUAGUCGGGGGAGUAACGUAAUUUGGAAACGAUAGCUAAUACCGCAUAAUAGUAGAUGUUGCAUGACAUUUGCUUAAAAGAUGCAAUUGCAUCACUACCAGAUGGACCUGCGUUGUAUUAGCUAGUUGGUGGGGUAACGGCUCACCAAGGCGACGAUACAUAGCCGACCUGAGAGGGUGAUCGGCCACACUGGGACUGAGACACGGCCCAGACUCCUACGGGAGGGCAGCAGUAGGGAAUCUUCGGCAAUGGACGAAAGUCUGACCGAGCAACGCCGCGUGAGUGAAGAAGGUUUUCGGAUCGUAAAGCUCUGUUGUAAGAGAAGAACGAGUGUGAGAGUGGAAAGUUCACACUGUGACGGUAUCUUACCAGAAAGGGACGGCUAACUACGUG